UCACCCCAUUCCCAGUUAGCGCUCUCUCUCUCUCUCUCUCUCUGAUUCAAGAUGUGAGCUCUCAACUCUUCUGUCAACAUGGACUAUAACCCUCUAAAACCCUAAAGCAAAUUAAUUCUACUUUCAUAAGUUGACUUGAGGUCUUAGUUAUGGUUAUUUUGAAACACCAGGUUCAAAAAGAAGAUGAGGAGGGAAGUAUUUGGCUUAUACUUCCACAUCAUACUCCAUCAUUGAAGGAAGUCAGAACAGGAACUCAAACAGGAUGAGAACCUAGAGGCAGGAGCUGAUGCAAAGGCUAAAGAGACCCCAGGACCCAGGACCACCGACCCAGGGGAUGGUACCACCUACAGUGGACUGGGCCCUCUUCCAUCAAUCACUAAGAAAGUAUCCUACAGGCUUGCCUGCAGCCCAGUCUUACAAAGACAAUUUCUUCAUCAAGGUUUCUCCUCUGAGUUGAUUGAGUAUAGUUUGUGUCAGGUUGAUCUACACAUAGCCAGCAUAACCGACUGCUUGUCAGUUGUAGUGGGUUGGCCUGAUGCUGCUUGUACUCUGAUGCUAAUAUUGGUUCCUCAAGAUCUGGGUGCCCCAGAGACAAGGGUCUGGGCAUAGACCCAAGUGACACCACAUGACCUUGCCUCCAAGUUAUUUCUUAUUGGUGAAUAGAGAUGCCAAUAACCUGGGCAGAGGAGACAUAGACAGGUUUUAGUGUUUCCGGGCUUGGGGCCAGGAAGAGAAGCCACCACCACCACCGUGGAUCAGAUGAGCUCAUAAAAAUGUGGCCCUGAAGCCUGGCCAGUGGAUUUAAGAGGAGCCCAGAGAAACACAGAUCCAGUGGGGAACCCUCAAGAUGCUCUGAUGACCAGCAGGAGCCUGAUUUCCUAGGGACUAGAGGCUGCUUAUUUCUUCUCCUGCCCCUGCUAACUGUGCCAGGUGCCUGCUGUGUGUGGAUAAAAGGGCCCCACACACCACAGAUAUCUCUCCCCCUUCCUCUCCCCUUCUCCUCCUCUGCUCUCAUUUCUCUCAACCUUACCUCCUGUGUGUUUCCAUGUCUCUCUCUGCCUGUCUGCCCUUUUCCCUCCUUACUGUUUCAACUCUGAGGCACCUUUCACUCUCCUCUCCCAAAUAAACCUCUUACACGAGA
This is a long non-coding RNA of Mus musculus (house mouse), 1141 nucleotides long. RefSeq annotates it as predicted gene, 20234. NCBI's taxonomy places the organism in Eukaryota, Metazoa, Chordata, Mammalia, Rodentia, Muridae. The transcript has 2 exons. The record is from RefSeq and is a predicted model, not a curated record.